UCCCGUCUGUGUCUGAGCGAAGGCGUUAAGUGCACCGCCUGGGGACUACGACCGCAAGAGCUAAAACUCAAAGGAAUCGACGGGGGCCCGCACAAGCGGUGGAGCAUGUGGCUCAAUUCGAGGCAACGCGAAGAACCUUACCUGGGUUUGACAUAUACCGGACCGCCGGUGAGAGCCGGUUUCUCUUUGACCAGGUAUACAGGUGCUGCAUGGCUGUCAGACAGCUCGUGCUGUGAAGUGUUCGGUUAAGUCCGGCAACGAGCGCAACCCACGCUGUUAGUUACCAUCAGGUAAUGCUGGGGACUGUAAUCAGGACUGCCCGUGCUAAGCGGGAGUAAGGCGUGGACGACGUCAAGUCCGCAUGGCCCUUACGCCCAGGGCUGCACACGUGCUACAACUGGCCGGUACAGAGGCUCGCCACUCUGCGAAGAGGAGCUAAUCCCGAUAACCGGCCCCAGUUCUGGAUUGGAGUCUGCAACCCGACUCCAUGAAGUAGGAAUCGCUAGUAAAGGCGUAUCAGCAU
This 523-nucleotide ribosomal RNA is filed under the name uncultured organism. Its description in RNAcentral is "bacterial SSU rRNA". It matches the Rfam family "Bacterial small subunit ribosomal RNA", at positions 835 to 1355 of the family's 1533-position model. The record is from RNAcentral.